This is a non-coding RNA of Pelobates cultripes (western spadefoot toad), 226 nucleotides long. The record is from the annotation of a GenBank genome assembly. NCBI's taxonomy places the organism in Eukaryota, Metazoa, Chordata, Amphibia, Anura, Pelobatidae.
UAGCUGACUUACCCCUCUUCAUUAGACGCCAAUUCACAGCCCUACGGCCGCCUAAAAAGGCAAAAUCUCUGAUGCUGGACAGCAUGUUCCGGGUCCCAAAGCCGACAAAGGCAUCAGCUGACCUCAUUAUCCACUUCCAAGCACUCCAGGACAGGGCCCUGGUACUCUCAGCCCUUCGAGGAAAACCCCCUCAGAAGUUUGAGGUCUCCUCCCUGUCUGUGUUCCC